RNAcentral lists this ribosomal RNA (510 nucleotides) under uncultured bacterium. RNAcentral describes it as "bacterial SSU rRNA". It matches the Rfam family "Bacterial small subunit ribosomal RNA", at positions 17 to 518 of the family's 1533-position model. The record is from RNAcentral.
UCCUGGCUCAGGAUGAACGCUAGCGACAGGCUUAACACAUGCAAGUCGAGGGGCAGCAUAGAAGUAGCAAUACUUUGGUGGCGACCGACGCACGGGUGAGUAACGCGUAUGCAACCUACCUAUCAGAGGGGAAUAACCCGGCGAAAGUCGGACUAAUACCGCAUAAAACAGGGGCACCGCAUGGUGAUAUUUGUUAAAGAAAUUCGCUGAUAGAUGGGCAUGCGUUCCAUUAGGUAGUUGGUGAGGUAACGGCUCACCAAGCCGACGAUGGAUAGGGGAACUGAGAGGUUGGUCCCCCACACUGGUACUGAGACACGGACCAGACUCCUACGGGAGGCAGCAGUGAGGAAUAUUGGUCAAUGGGCGGGAGCCUGAACCAGCCAAGUCGCCGUGAAGGAAGAAGGAUCUAUGGUUCGUAAACUUCUUUUGCAGGGGAAUAAAGUGCAGGACGUGUCCUGUUUUGUAUGUACCCUGAGAAUAAGGAUCGGCUAACUCCGUGCCAGCAGCCGC